GUUGCUUGGGGUUAUUACUA
RNAcentral lists this microRNA (20 nucleotides) under Schmidtea mediterranea. Its description in RNAcentral is "sme-miR-754a". Its record names the gene sme-miR-754a. Lineage: Eukaryota; Metazoa; Platyhelminthes; Tricladida; Dugesiidae. The record is from miRBase by way of RNAcentral.